GAUGAAGAACGCAGCGAAAUGCGAUAAGUAAUGUGAAUUGCAGAAUUCAGUGAAUCAUCGAAUCUUUGAACGCACAUUGCGCCCUCUGGUAUUCCGGGGGGCAUGCCUGUUCGAGCGUCAUUAUAACCACUCAAGCUCUCGCUUGGUAUUGGGGUUCGCGGUUCCGCGGCCCCUAAAAUCAGUGGCGGUGCCUGUCGGCUCUACGCGUAGUAAUACUCCUCGCGAUUGAGUCCGGUAGGUCUACUUACCAGCAACCCCCAAUUUUUACAGGUUGACCUCGGAUCAGGUAGGGAUACCCGCUGAACUUAAGCAUAUCAAUAAGCGGAGGA
RNAcentral lists this unclassified non-coding RNA (329 nucleotides) under soil metagenome. RNAcentral describes it as "partial contains 5.8S ribosomal RNA, internal transcribed spacer 2, and large subunit ribosomal RNA". The stretch from base 1 to 120 matches the Rfam family "5.8S ribosomal RNA", at positions 35 to 154 of the family's 154-position model. The record is from RNAcentral.